RNAcentral lists this long non-coding RNA (1124 nucleotides) under Chrysemys picta bellii (western painted turtle). RNAcentral describes it as "lncRNA (ENSCPBG00000005450.1)". The record is from RNAcentral. Lineage: Eukaryota; Metazoa; Chordata; Testudines; Emydidae.
GGAAUCCAAUGACCUCAAGGGCUUCCCAGGCCAAGGCUGGAGAUCAGCUGUAGGCUUGGAACAUGGUUAGGAGGCAGCACAUUUUGCUAGUCCAUGCCUGCAGGGUCUGUCCAGGACAGUGGGGGCAGCCAUGGGUUCGCAGAGCGAUUUCUGCCCCUUCGGAGGGGGAAGCUGUGGCUAGCAGUGGAGAGUGGAUCAAGUGAUCUGUAGCUUUUGCUUUGAUUAGGUCUCUCUGAACGAGGGUGCCCACCAGCUUCGCCUGUACCACAGUGGCCCUGCCACGGACCAGCUGUUCUCUGUCGGUGCCCUCACCUCUGCAGGACGGUAACCCCUCGCGCCUGGCUCCCGGCCAGCUCACUCCCUUCUUGUGUGUGUCUUGUCUCUGUAACGUCCCGUGCUUUGCUGCGGACUGUGCAGGCUCUCACCCCUGUGCUGCUCCUCUCCCCACAGGUAUGUCCCAUGUGCCAGCCUGCUAGUCAGGCUGCUCAAAGCCCCCGUGGACUCCAGCCAUCAAACCCUGCAGAGAAGCAUGGUUCCCCAGGGGGACUGGGUCAGACUCGGCCUCUUCCAGCCCAGGCCUGACUAUUCAGACGGGAUCUAUUAUUCAGACUCGGUCGUGCCCACCGCCGGGGAGAGGUGCCUCUACAGCGCCAUGGGAAACAGGUCUGCAGUGCUGGUUCGGGAGAUUGUCCCUCAGCUUGUGGGAAACGAAGGCCCGGAGCUGAAUACAGAUGCGGAGAUCUCUACUUGGAUCAAAGAGAAACUGACCAGGACGAUGGACUGCAGCCCUCAGCCUUUCAAUCUUACCUAUGUCUCUCGAUACCUCCCUACAUACGGCAUUAAGGUGAUUCAAGGAGUGUGUUUCUCAGUCCGAGAACAGCUGUUGGGCCCCACAUAGGUAAUGGAAUGACUGUACUAUUCGCUUGCUUCAACAAUCUGAUUGUUCUCCUGGCACCAGGGGAGAGUGUCCAAGACCACGAUCAGUGCAAAGGGUGUCGUGCCACACACCUGCUGUGUUUGUGUAGGUUCCACACCGGGCUAGGAUGGAGCUGGUCCCGGGUGAUACGCAGAGACACACUGCACGCAUCCUGCUUUGGGGCCCCACCGCUUUCUAGAGAAUUUAA